Molecule: ribosomal RNA, 152 nt
Filed under: uncultured bacterium
Lineage: Bacteria
Description: partial 16S ribosomal RNA
Source: RNAcentral
CAUCCUGCAGCAGCGACGCCGCGUGUGUGAUGAAGGUCUUCGGAUUGUAAGCUUUGUUGGUUGGGACGAUAAUGGUGGGCCGGAAUGACGAAGCUGAGGAUAACUUGUGCCAACAGCCGCCGUAAUACUAAGUGCCAGCAGCCGCGGUAAUA